This is an RNA transcript of Neodiprion virginianus, 3870 nucleotides long. It is a transcript of the gene named luc7-like protein 3, with no coding region annotated. NCBI's taxonomy places the organism in Eukaryota, Metazoa, Arthropoda, Insecta, Hymenoptera, Diprionidae. The transcript is spliced from 8 exons. The record is from RefSeq and is a predicted model, not a curated record.
GUCAUUGACCAAGGAUAAUAAAUUGUGGCAUUGUGUACUGUUGUUAAAAUAAUUUCUACAGUUGGUUUAAGUGCCCUGAAUUCUUAGUUACCUUCGUUCUAGCAGUUUACUUUAUGUUGUUCACAGUUUCGGGAACAAUGCAUGUCCCAUUCGUGUAGAACAAACGUCUUAAUACAAGAAACAGUGAACUAAACAGAAAGACAGAAUAUGGCUGCUGCCGCUGCCGCCGCUCUGCUCGAUGAGCUCAUGGGAAGAAAUCGAAAUGUUCUUCCUAACGAGAAGCCUAAAGAACUUAAUUGGGAGGAUCCGGAGUUCUGCAAGUUAUAUCUGGUGAAGUUUUGUCCUCACGAUCUUUUUGUGAAUACACGAGCUGAUCUUGGUGCAUGUUCUCGUGUACACGACGAUGAAGCAAGAGAAUUGUUUGAAAAAGCGGCUUAUUCAUAUAGGAAACAACAAUAUGAGGAUGAAUUCAUCAGAUUCUGUCAAAGUAUGCUUAACGAAGUUGAGCGCAAAAUCAUAAAAGGAAAACAGCGGCUCGCAUUAAUUGGCAGAACUGAAGCGCCUACAUUGACUCCAGCCCAAACACAACGAAAUGAAGAUCAAAUUGCACUUCUCACAGAAAAGAUUAAUAAAUUGGUAGAAGAAGCUGAGCAGAGCGGAAUUCAGGGAAACGUUGAACAAGCUCAGGGACUCAUGCGCCUUUGCGAUCAACUGAAAGAAGAACGGGAGACUUUACGUAAAUCUAAUGAUAAUAGCCAUUAUAAUCAAACUGCGGAGCUAGCAGCAGCACAGGAAAAGCAAAUGGAGGUGUGUGAUGUAUGUGGUGCAUUCCUUAUUGUUGGCGAUGCUCAACAAAGAAUUGACGAUCACCUUAUGGGAAAACAGCAUGUUGGGUAUGCACGAUUAAAAAGUGCUCUACAGGAGAUAAUGAGUAAACGCGAAAAGGCACGAGACGAAAAAGAGCAGAAGAGGGAUGAAGAAAGGAAACAAAGAGCACGUAUGAAUGAAGAAAAUGACAGAAGAAGGCAAGACAGGGAGAGGGACAAACGUCGUCGACGAACUGAUGACGAUAAAAGUAGACACGGUUCUGGUAAUUAUAGAAAUUCAGGGCAACGUAGUAGAAGUAGAUCCGCAGACAAGCAUGAACGCCACAGAGAUGAAGACAAUCAUCGUCGUCACAAUAGGGACAGAGGGAGCCGUGAUCAUCGCAGUUCUAGUCACCACAGUCGACGACGACAUCGUUCAAGAAGUCGAAGUCACAAGUAACUACUUUCCUCUUGAUUGGUUAGUGAGUCAGAAGUAAGCCAGGUAUGCACUAAAUAAUAAAUUCUUAACAACACAAUUAUUAUACAGGUUCAUACCAGGUGAGUUUCAUUAAGUCAUACAAUUUGUAUGUUAUUAAUAUGUGAUAAAUUAUCGAUUCACAGUAAGUAUCGUUCACUGCACAGGUAUCAAUCAUGUGAAAGAUGGAUAUUGUUUGUAUUUCGGAAGUUAAACAAUUGUAAAACGAACUAGACUGUAAGGAAAUUGUGAAUAUAUUAUCAAAAAAAAAAAAAAAAAAUAGCCUAUGCCACUUCGUGUUUUUAUUGUGAUAAAUUCUUUUUAAUUUUUAUUUUUUUUUUUCAAUUUUUAUUUGCUACUCUCUUUUUAUACCAUUACAGACAUUCGUGUUUUCAUUUAAUAAACUGAACUAAAAACCUUCAGUGCGCAACGAGACAAAUAUUUGUCAAUCAUGAAAUCCAUGAAAGCGAAUGUCCCGAUGUAUCCCGUCUGUAUUCAUUUCUCAACAGUACGAUUUUGGGUUUUUUAGUACUCAUUUAGAAUUGAAUUAGUGAAAACAAUAUUGAGUAUUUUAAGUGGGAUCAUUUCAAAUUCAUGCUAUUCAAUGCUUCUGUAUCGCGCUGAAUAGAACUUGCAUGUCAGAUUCUAAAAUGUGAAUGUAAUACAAAACACUUGCUAAAGCUGGAGAAAUUUUAAUUCUAUCCGACUCACUAACGACUGACAAUGUACAGCUCAAUUCGCAGUCUUGGAUCUUAAAGUCGCAUCACAGCAGCAAACAUACCGUUUAAACUAUUAUGUUUCCACAUGCAUGUUCCACAUUCUGAUUCAUGACCCUAAAGUGUAUUACCGUGUGAUGAAGAACAGAGACUGCCCGUUGCAAUUUUGUGAUAUGUUGAUGAUUUGAGCAGAGCAUACUCUCAUCCAUUGCGAUUGCUACGUAAAAGUUUACGAAUGGUUGCUUUUGAUAUUCAUGUUUUUUUAUUUCCACAUUUUCCACAUAGUAUGUUGUAUUUUUCUUUUUUUCCAACGGCUUGUGAGGUGGCAAAGAAGAAGAAUUGUCAUUCAGACUUUUAACUUGGCUAGUACUUUUUUUACAAACGGAUUCCUUUUCUAACACAUUGCAUAAGAUUUCGUAUCUACUACUUGAGUUCUGCGGAUACUUUAUAAAAUCUAAAAUAUGUAAAAUUAUUAAUUGAAUAUCAAUAGUGUUAAAAUCGACAAAAGAUGCUUGAAAUUACUUGAGAAUAAUUGAUGGGAUAUCAUUCAAGAUAUCCCUGAGAAUUAUAAGUGCUUGUUGAAAUCUGAUUUGAGAGAAGGUAAAAAUUUUCAUGAAUUGCUAUUUAAUUAACGUUUAGUACUCCAAUUUUUUUCUUCAAGUUAAUUUCAGUGUAAUGAGUGAUGAAAGUGACUUAACCAGGUAUCUAAAGCAGACAAACUGCGGAAACGUUAUAAAUUUGAGACUAAUUAUUCAAUUAUUUUACUGUGAGAAAAUGAAAUAAUUUAGAUAACUCGUUAAUAUUUAAAAAAUAUACGCACAUGAAAGAGUUGAGAAGACUGAUUGAAUGGUUUUCAUGUUAAUUGUCACGUCAUUCAAAUUUACUGAACUUAUUUGUUUAUAUCUUUUUAGUUUAAAAGAUCAAGUGUACACACACACACCCCUUUAUUUUUGGCCCAAACGCUAAUGAAUUUCUAUAAAUAAUAGUAGACGUAAAAUUAACGAUCUAACCAUUCAUUUUCUGGAUAAGUAAAAAAAUGCCGGUGAUGUAGUGAAAGGUUUGCUGUAAAUUCCUAGUUGUUAUUUAUGUAUAUUUAAGUUGGUUCACUGCUCUAUUGACCAUGCAAAGCAUGUGUAAUCCGUGUCUCAUCAGUUUUGUAUUUAACCAUUCUGUGCUAACAAACAAUUCAGUGGUACUGAUAUAUUGAUGGUAAAAAUAACGACAAUUCUCCAAAUAUUUACACUGAAGGUUUUCAUACUAAGUGCGCGCGUUACGAUUGUUAAGAAGUAUGUUUCUUUCAUAUUAUGUAAAGUCUGGUGUGCAUAUAGAAAAUGGAAAACUGAUUGCAACUGCUACAGCAGUAAGAUUCUGCGAUUGUAGGAGCGUACUCGUUGACUGCCUUAUAUGCGAAGAUUCAUGUGACUGGUGGUACCAAUCAUACGUGAAUUGUCACUGAAUGAAGAUACAACACGAAGAUGCGUACAUCACAGGCUGUAAAUUCGUUCAUGCUGCUUAAUAUAAUUUUGAGGUAAAAAUUUUGCAUAAUCUAUAAUUUAAGAUUUCAAUUAAUAUAAAUUUUGUACAAAUGCCAGCAACACGAGGGCUUCUAAAGUUACAACGUUAAUGAACAGUUUCUUCCACCAUAAAAUUCAUUUUGAUAUUAUCCGUCUGGGAAUUCGUCAACUAUACUGUUACUCUAAUUGAACAGACUCUUGUUGAUAUAUAAAUGUUUAUAUAGAACAAUUGUUAGUUUAAAUUACUGUUGCAUAAAAAAAUUUAAACAAAAACAAUUUAUCGAGUUCAAUGAUCUAUCAGUUCAAUUGUAAUGCUUAAAUCGACUGUUGUCUUAAAUAAAUACACAAUAUUAUACAAA